This 406-nucleotide ribosomal RNA is filed under the name uncultured bacterium. RNAcentral's name for it is "partial 16S ribosomal RNA". It matches the Rfam family "Bacterial small subunit ribosomal RNA", at positions 30 to 526 of the family's 1533-position model. The record is from RNAcentral.
AUUGAACGCUGGCGGCAGGCCUAACACAUGCAAGUCGAACGAGUGGCGGACGGGUGAGUAAUGUCUGGGAAACUGCCCGAUGGAGGGGGAUAACCACUGGAAACGGUAGCUAAUACCGCAUACCAUCGGAUGUGCCCCGAUGGGAUUAGCUAGUGGGUGGGGUAACGGCUAACCUAGGCGACGAUCCCUAGCUGGUCUGAGAGGAUGACCAGCCACACUGGAACUGAGACACGGUCCAGACUCCUACGGGAGGCAGCAGUGGGGAAUAUUGCACAAUGGGCGCAAGCCUGAUGCAGCCAGGCCGCGUGUGUGAAGAAGGCCUUCGGGUUGUAAAGUACUUUCAGCGAGGAGGCGUUACUCGCAGAAGAAGCACCGGCUAACUCCGUGCCAGCCGCCGCGGUAAUAC